UGUCGCCGCGCCGCGCCUUGCUCGCGGCCGUGUCCGCGCCGAUGAUCGGCGCGAGAUCGGAGAACUGCAGCAGAUUCGACACGAGCUCGCCGGACAGGAGCGGCCGCGGCGCGCGCUGCUGGUACACGAGCGUGCCGCGCAGAUCGCUGCCGCCAACGCGGCCGUUGAAGUUCUCGUAACGGAACGUGCUCGCGGCGCGCUUGAAACGACCGACGAGCCGGCCUUCGGUCGCGUACGGCGGCGUGUCGGGCAAGGUCACGCCCGUGAGCGGAUACAGGUGCGACAUGCUCGAGCCCUGCAGCCACAGCCGCAGGUCGAUCGCGGCGAGAUGGACCGGAUCGGUGAGCGUCCCGACGAUCGCGAGGCGCGUGUCGCCCGCCUUCACGUCGGCCUGCAGCGGGAAUGGCCGCGAAGCGUCCCGAAGCGACAGCACGCCGCCCACCUUGCCCGUGCCGUCGAUCGGCACGCCCUUGUAGCGGCCCUUCACGGUCAGGCCGAACGCGUAGGUCGGGCCGGCCGACCGCUGCUCGGCGGCGGAGGCCGCGCUUGCGCCGCUCGCGCCCCUUGCGCCGCUCGCGCCCGAAACGGCCGCGCUCGUCGAGACGGCCGAAGCGGAAGAUGCGGCCGACGCGGAGGCGGAAGCAACCGCCCCGCCCGCGCCCGCUGCGGGAGCCUUGCCGGCGGCAACCGCCGCGGCGCUCCCGCCGGAGGCCGCGGCGGCCGGCUUCGACGCAGCGCUCGCGCCCGCCGUGGCCCGAGCCGCCCGUGACCGGUCAUUGCCGGAAACCUUGGCGGCCGACGCCGCGGCAUUCACGCCCGACGCGCCGCUCGCCGCGGCAGCGCCGCUCGCGUUCGGCGCCCCGGCGGCCGACGCCGCCGACGCGUCGGACGCGAUCUGGGCUUGCGCCUUGGCGGCCAAUUGCGCCGCGCCGCGUUUGCCGACCCGCUGCGCCGACGCCGCCCGAGACGUCUCCUCCUGCUGCCGGAGCACGUCGCCGAGCGGAAUCGGCUGGCCGAGCGUAUCGACCGCGACGCUCAGAUCGGCUUUCGUGAUCGCGUCGCGAUAGACGACCGUGCCCUUCGCGAAGCCGAAGUCGCGCAACUGCACCUUCCAGGGCGACGGGCCGGCAGACUGCUUGAAUUCGAAGGUCCAGUUGUUGCGGCCGUCGGCGAGGCGCUCGAUGUCGAGCGCCGGGUUGACGAGCUCGAUCGUCGGGAUCACGACCUCGUGCGCGAGCAGCGGCAGGACGGCGAGCUCGAAGCGCGCUUCGUCGAGCGUCGCGAAAUUGGGCGCUUUCGCCCACGGCGGGUUGCCGAUCACGAUCCGGCUCGCCGAGAACACCGGCCACGGCACCCAUGCGCGCC
RNAcentral lists this ribosomal RNA (1365 nucleotides) under Burkholderia mallei JHU. Its description in RNAcentral is "16S ribosomal RNA". Lineage: Bacteria; Pseudomonadati; Pseudomonadota; Betaproteobacteria; Burkholderiales; Burkholderiaceae. The record is from RNAcentral.